ACAACAUUCGGACCAUCGGUCUACCGAGAAAUAUUACUCGCUUGGUGGAAGAUCUUCCUUUCGUUGU
Molecule: microRNA precursor, 67 nt
Filed under: Bombyx mori (domestic silkworm)
Lineage: Eukaryota; Metazoa; Arthropoda; Insecta; Lepidoptera; Bombycidae
Description: mir-2774 microRNA precursor family
Rfam family: mir-2774 microRNA precursor family
Source: Rfam by way of RNAcentral